Molecule: long non-coding RNA, 207 nt
Filed under: Ananas comosus (pineapple)
Lineage: Eukaryota; Viridiplantae; Streptophyta; Magnoliopsida; Poales; Bromeliaceae
Description: long non-coding RNA (ACOM_LNC027941)
Source: RNAcentral
GUUCCAAUUGAGUGGAGGUCAUGGAAUAUUCGUCAAACCCCAUCACCCGUCAUAUGAUAAAUUUGAUAAGACAGAAGCUCUUAUGGUUACUCUUGGAAACCUCUUUCCAUACACCAUAUUACCCCGGCCGAGGAUUUUUGAGCUUUGCCUUACAAAUAGCAUAGAACUAAUUAUCUCUCUACCGAGAGCGAUAGAUCCCCUAUAAAC